CACUAAACUGGUUGCAUCUCUCCGUAG
Molecule: non-coding RNA, 27 nt
Filed under: Cricetulus griseus (Chinese hamster)
Lineage: Eukaryota; Metazoa; Chordata; Mammalia; Rodentia; Cricetidae
Source: RNAcentral